RNAcentral lists this long non-coding RNA (236 nucleotides) under Elaeis guineensis (African oil palm). RNAcentral's name for it is "long non-coding RNA (EGUI_LNC015295)". Lineage: Eukaryota; Viridiplantae; Streptophyta; Magnoliopsida; Arecales; Arecaceae. The record is from RNAcentral.
UCAGGAGUUUAUCAACUUCCUCAGCUAUUGCCUUCCGCCUUUCCGGUGCAUGACCUCAAAUUUUUUUCUUCAUUGGCCGAUGCUUGGGAUCAACGGCUAGACGAUGUUCCAUGAUUUCCGCAUCAAUCCCCGACAUGUCCGUCGGGACCCAAGCGAAAAUAUCUGCAUUCUUUUGUAAAAAAUUGAUAAGCUGAGUCCGUACCUCUUCUCCCAGGUUGGAGCUGAUCUUCACCACA